RNAcentral lists this unclassified non-coding RNA (291 nucleotides) under Agaricomycetes sp. Its description in RNAcentral is "partial contains 5.8S ribosomal RNA, internal transcribed spacer 2, and large subunit ribosomal RNA". The record is from RNAcentral. Lineage: Eukaryota; Fungi; Basidiomycota; Agaricomycetes.
CGCACCUUGCACUCCUUGGUAUUCCGAGGAGUAUGCCUGUUUGAGUGUCUUUUUAAUCAUCAAUACUCUCUUUGCUUUUGUGAAGAGUUGUAUUGGAGUUGGAGACUGCUGGUCUAUGUUUUUAGAUCUGGCUUCUCUUGAAUGUAUUAGUUGAAUUGACUUGCAACGCUACGUGUGGUGUGAUAAUAUCUUCACUGCAUAGUUGUGAUGAAGUUUGGCUUCUAACAGUCCUUUGUUGGACAAUUUUGACCAUUAGACCUCAAAUCAGGUAGGACUACCCGCUGAACUUAA